RNAcentral lists this long non-coding RNA (1257 nucleotides) under Sus scrofa (pig). Its description in RNAcentral is "lncRNA (ENSSSCG00035003844.1)". The record is from RNAcentral. Lineage: Eukaryota; Metazoa; Chordata; Mammalia; Artiodactyla; Suidae.
GCCGGCGGCGCUCCUGCCCGCUGAUUCGCAGCUGCCCGCGGCUCCCACGCUCUACUGCCCGGGUCCCUGCCCCGCGAGGCGCCCAAUUACCCGCUUACCUUCCGCCCUCACACCUGGCCUCCCGAAAGGCGCUUUCGUUGUCUCCGCCAGGCGGUGCAGUAGCUGAUGGAGAUGAAAGGCGUGAGGAGCUGCUUUGAGGACCAAAGCCGCGACAUCCCACCACCUGGCCAAGAGCACUGUUCGUGACCGACCCCUUGCCCUAAAUACCCGUCUGUAUUGCUCGGGACCCGCAGGAGCGACUCUCUGAAAGCGGCUGGCUCUGUGGGCCGGGGCGCUUCCCAGGGACUGGCCGCUGCUAUGUCUUUGCUUUAGGAGCCGAAGUGAAGCGACGGAAGACUGCUGUUGGUGCCUCCUGCGGUACCUGAACACGGGAGCGACCGGCGCGGGAUGCAGGGCGGUGACGCUAAAGCUUGUGCUUCUUUCUUCAGUGAAGGGACACAUCCACCUUGAGUUCCUGGACAGGAAAAGGGCUUCGAACGCCAAGAGCAAGUAUGGAGGCACUGAGAUGGAAAGCAGUUUUCAGCAAAGGAGGAAAAGCUUGGGAGCCUGGCAUUCACAGGGGUGUCUGCGGGCAUGUCUGCCCGAGGUCUGGGAGCAGGAAUGACAAGAGACCUCACACUCGGCAGCCUGGGGGCAGCUCCGGGGACCAGGAGCCGGGCCUUCGGAAGGAAAGAUCCCCGGGUCCCGGAGACAGCGGCUACACCGCACAGGGCAGACGACCCGACUCCGACUGAACAGGUACGGCUGAAAGAGACCUCACGUGCCCUGGGUGGCACUGCACUGACCGACAGCUCUCAUCCCACAUUUGCCUGAACCCAGAGAAUGACAACGCCAAGAGCGAGCCCUGCUGCAGACCGUGGACUCUGGUCGUCUGGGUAGGUUCUGAGUGUGUGUGUGUGUGGGGGGGGCGUUGGUAAUGGGGAGACUGUGCGAGCGGGGACAUGGGUGGACUUUAUUGGGAACCCCUGGACUUUCCUGUCCAUGUUGCUGUGAACCUUCAACUGCACCAAAAACUAAAAUCUAUUAAAAAAUACGUUAUAACCGCCACUUAGGAUAAUGCAGAUUUUCUUGCUCUUUCCAGAACCUCCAGAGACAGCUGUAAGAAAAUGAAUUGACUUUUGCUCAAAACACAGAAAUCCUCAGAACCAAAAAUAAUCCCAGGAAGGAAAUAAAAUACAAGACACGCAGAAUUCCGCA